Molecule: ribosomal RNA, 705 nt
Filed under: Limosilactobacillus reuteri
Lineage: Bacteria; Bacillati; Bacillota; Bacilli; Lactobacillales; Lactobacillaceae
Description: bacterial SSU rRNA
Rfam family: Bacterial small subunit ribosomal RNA
Source: RNAcentral
GGCUAGAUGAGUGCUAGUGUUGGAGGGUUUCCGCCCUUCAGUGCUCGCGAGCUAACGCAUUAAGCACUCCGCCUGGGGAGUACGACCGCAAGGUUGAAACUCAAAGGAAUUGACGGGGGCCCGCACAAGCGGUGGAGCAUGUGGUUUAAUUCGAAGCUACGCGAAGAACCUUACCAGGUCUUGACAUCUUGCGCUAACCUUAGAGAUAAGGCGUUCCCUUCGGGGACGCAAUGACAGGUGGUGCAUGGUCGUCGUCAGCUCGUGUCGUGAGAUGUUGGGUUAAGUCCCGCAACGAGCGCAACCCUUGUUACUAGUUGCCAGCAUUAAGUUGGGCACUCUAGUGAGACUGCCGGUGACAAACCGGAGGAAGGUGGGGACGACGUCAGAUCAUCAUGCCCCUUAUGACCUGGGCUACACACGUGCUACAAUGGACGGUACAACGAGUCGCAAGCUCGCGAGAGUAAGCUAAUCUCUUAAAGCCGUUCUCAGUUCGGACUGUAGGCUGCAACUCGCCUACACGAAGUCGGAAUCGCUAGUAAUCGCGGAUCAGCAUGCCGCGGUGAAUACGUUCCCGGGCCUUGUACACACCGCCCGUCACACCAUGGGAGUUUGUAACGCCCAAAGUCGGUGGCCUAACCUUUAUGGAGGGAGCCGCCUAAGGCGGGACAGAUGACUGGGGUGAAGUCUACAAAGGGGGGAACAAAA